UUCCCUUCGGGGGACAAGUAGAGUGGCGCACGGGUGAGUAACACGUAGGUAAUCUACCUUCGGGUGGGGAAUAACAACCGGAAACGGUUGCUAAUACCGCAUAAUGCAGCGGCACCUAAUGGUGACAGUUGUUAAAGCGGGGGAUCGCAAGAUCUCGCGCCUGAAGAGGAGCCUGCGGCGGAUUAGCUAGUUGGUAGGGUAAUGGCCUACCAAGGCGACGAUCCGUAACCGGCCUGAGAGGGCGGUCGGUCACACUGACACUGACAUACGGGUCAGACUCCUACGGGAGGCAGCAGUCGGGAAUUUUGGGCAAUGGGCGAAAGCCUGACCCAGCAACGCCGCGUGAAGGAUGAAAUCCCUCGGGAUGUAAACUUCGCAAGAACGGGAAGAAUAAGUGGAAGUUAAUACCUUCCAUGAUGACGGUACCGUUUGUAAGCUCCGGCUAACUCCGUGCCAGCAGCCGCGGUAAUACGGGGGGAGCAAGCGUUGUUCGGAUUUACUGGGCGUAAAGGGCGCGUAGGCGGCCUCCGCAAGUCAGUUGUGAAAUCUCCGAGCUUAACUCGGAAAGGUCAACUGAUACUGCGGGGCUAGAGUGCGGAAGGGGCAACUGGAAUUCUUGGUGUAGCGGUGAAAUGCGUAGAUAUCAAGAGGAACACCUGCGGCGAAGGCGGGUUGCUGGGCCGACACUGACGCUGAGGCGCGAAAGCUAGGGGAGCGAACGGGAUUAGAUACCCCGGUAGUCCUAGCCUUAAACGAUGAAUGCUUGGUGUCUGGGGUUAUAUAGUCCCCGGGUGCCGUCGCUAACGC
This 807-nucleotide ribosomal RNA is filed under the name uncultured Pseudomonadota bacterium. RNAcentral's name for it is "bacterial SSU rRNA". It matches the Rfam family "Bacterial small subunit ribosomal RNA", at positions 74 to 858 of the family's 1533-position model. The record is from RNAcentral. Lineage: Bacteria; Pseudomonadati; Pseudomonadota.